Long non-coding RNA from Felis catus (domestic cat), 619 nucleotides. RefSeq lists it as uncharacterized. The transcript is spliced from 2 exons. The record is from RefSeq and is a predicted model, not a curated record. NCBI's taxonomy places the organism in Eukaryota, Metazoa, Chordata, Mammalia, Carnivora, Felidae.
UGGCUCCCAAUGGUCCCCAUCUUUUGGGAUCCAUGACCUUGACAGCCCCUCUCCACCCUGAAUAGGGCUAAUCUAGUUACCACUCAAACACUGCAGGAAUGAUGCUGUAUGACUUCUGAGGACAGGUCAUAAAGGACUUUGUGGCUUCAGCCUUAUUCUCUCGGACCAUGCACUCUGGGGGAAGCUGGCUGCCAUGUUUGAAAGCACUCGGGCAGCCCCAGGAAGGGGUCCGCGUGGUGGAAAACUGAAACCAGCAUGUGACUGCAGCCCCAGCCGACACGUAGAUUGGGGCCUUCUUAUGAAGGACCUUGAACCAAAGGCACCCAGAUGAGCUGCUCCCACGUUCCUGACCCACAAAAACUGUAUCCGAGAAUCCCAACGAAUCCCAAGCAGGAUAAACGUAAAGACAGUUUCACGGUGGCACAUGAGAAGAAGCCAACUGGUGAUGAGGAGAAAGUCUUAAAAGCAUCUAGAGAAGAAGACACAUGGUAUAUGGGGGAACAAAGUUAAGAACAACAUUUUUCAUUAUGAUCCAGUAUAUAGUACAUCUUGAUGAAAAUGUAAAAGUGUGUAUUCUGCCUUUGGGGGUGUAGACUUCAAUAAAUAGCACUUCAGUCAA